RNAcentral lists this transfer RNA (90 nucleotides) under Verrucomicrobiota bacterium. RNAcentral describes it as "Verrucomicrobia bacterium (freshwater metagenome) tRNA-Ser". It matches the Rfam family "tRNA". From Rfam's summary of the family: Transfer RNA (tRNA) molecules are approximately 80 nucleotides in length. Their secondary structure includes four short double-helical elements and three loops (D, anti-codon, and T loops). Lineage: Bacteria; Pseudomonadati; Verrucomicrobiota. RNAcentral also lists the same sequence under 3 other names. The record is from RNAcentral.
GGAGGGGUGGCAGAGUGGUCUAUCGCGACGGUCUUGAAAACCGUUAUGGCUUAACCGCCAUCGGGGGUUCGAAUCCCUCCCCCUCCGCCA